GUUGGGUUAGUUCAAUCGGUUAGAACGUAUCAUUCAUACUGAUGAGGAAAAGGUUCGAUUCCUUUACCCAGCC
Molecule: transfer RNA, 73 nt
Organism: Wallemia ichthyophaga EXF-994
Lineage: Eukaryota; Fungi; Basidiomycota; Wallemiomycetes; Wallemiales; Wallemiaceae
Rfam family: tRNA
About the family: Transfer RNA (tRNA) molecules are approximately 80 nucleotides in length. Their secondary structure includes four short double-helical elements and three loops (D, anti-codon, and T loops).
Source: Rfam